CCUACGGGAGGCAGCAGUGGGGAAUAUUGGGCAAUGGGCGCAAGCCUGACCCAGCAACGCCGCGUGAAGGAAGAAGGCUUUCGGGUUGUAAACUUCUUUUGUCAGGGAAGAGUAGAAGACGGUACCUGACGAAUAAGCCACGGCUAACUACGUGCCAGCAGCCGCGGUAAUACGUAGGUGGCAAGCGUUGUCCGGAUUUACUGGGUGUAAAGGGCGUGUAGCCGGGUUGACAAGUCAGAUGGGAAAUCCUGCGGCUUAACCGCAGAACUGCAUUUGAAACUGUUGAUCUUGAGUACGGGAGAGGCAGACGGAAUUCCUAGUGUAGCGGUGAAAUGCGUAGAUAUUAGGAGGAACACCAGUGGCGAAGGCGGUCUGCUGGACAGCAACUGACGGUGAGGCGCGAAAGCGUGGGGAGCAAACAGGAUUAGAUACCCCAGUAGUC
This 442-nucleotide ribosomal RNA is filed under the name uncultured bacterium. RNAcentral describes it as "partial 16S ribosomal RNA". It matches the Rfam family "Bacterial small subunit ribosomal RNA", at positions 338 to 795 of the family's 1533-position model. The record is from RNAcentral.